Molecule: long non-coding RNA, 3384 nt
Organism: Sorex fumeus (smoky shrew)
Lineage: Eukaryota; Metazoa; Chordata; Mammalia; Eulipotyphla; Soricidae
Exons: 4
Source: RefSeq, a predicted model, not a curated record
GGGCGAGGUCCUGACUCCGGGCAGUGCGGCCUCUGCCCGCGGCUCCUCCGGGCGGCUGGUCCUGGGCAGGUCGUGCGUGGCCUCCAGGGUGCUGCCACCGUGGAACUCUCUGGAAGACUUCCGUUUGUCGGCUGAACGGUCGUGAGCAGCCGCGCCGCGCUGGGGGCCCUGUGGGAGAACAGCGCCGGUCAGUGCCCGCUGACCUGCAAGCCGCCGUGUCCAUCCGGGCCUGGCGUCGGGACUGCCAGCGCCUCGGUUGCAGAGCCCCCCAGGACCCUUUGAUGUCAUGACACCAACUUUCCUGCAUCGGAAUCACUUCCUCCCCUGGUCAGACGACGAGCAGAGUUGUGUGAACUUGUGAGUGCAGACAUGAAGGGGACACAUAAGUGAUGAACUCCCUGGGUGGAGCGGACCCCUGACCUGUGCCUGGGCUCUGUGUGCGCUGUGUGGGGGAUCUUGGAGGUCUGAGGUGAACUGAGAGCUCAGGCUUGCAGAAGCGUGGAGGUGUUUGGGUGAAGACGUGACCCUGAGCUCGGGAGACAGAUUGCCUAACGCCCGCUCUCGAGUGAGCAAGCCGGCAGCCAUGUGGAGGCAGCGCUGGACACCGCGGGGGAUGGUCAGCACGGCGAGAUUUCAUCACAGUGACAGCAGCUCGUGGCGCUGACCAUGGCCACUGUGCAGAAGCCAUAGCCGAGAGGCGGUCAGGGCUGUCCCGUGUGCCCUGCAGUGUCCCCAUUCUCGGGGUGCGGACACUGGGGCCCCGGGAAGGACAGAAUGUGCCUGGGUGUGGAUCCACCCUGGGGCCUGGCUGGGAAGCCCUGCACUGCCCACACACCACAGUCCACCCUCUGCAAACUUUCAGAGCCAGAUUCUUCUGAUCUAGCACAUGGCCCACAGUUCCUGCAAGAGAAGAUGUGUUUGGAGGUGACUGGUUCGGAGCUGCUUGGCUCACACCUCUGGAUCGCAGGGCAGACCCUCCUCUCUCCUGUGGCCUCUGCUUUUCUGAUACAAGCAGGGCCCCGCUGUCCUCUGAAGCCGAGGCUUUCACAGCACAGGAGCUGGCCCUGGGACACCCCAACCUAACAUUCCUGUUUGACUAGUUGUGGGAUAUAACUGCCUUCUUGGUUUUGAAAAGAUUUUCACGUGAACCCCACCCCACCCCCCAAACUAUGUUCCAACUCCUCUUCCCCAGUGCUCCUGACUCAUACACACUUUCCCUGCCAAACAGACUCAGCAACAGAGCCCAGGCUCUGUACCAGCUGGGGAUGAAAGGAUGCAUCAGAGUUUGGACUUCACGGGGAGGAGCACCCAUGGGCUUAGGAAGCCCCGACUCCCCACUCUCCACCAUUCCCUGCUCUCCUUGCCCUGGCUCCAGGGCUGUGUGCUGACUCCGGGGUCCUGCAGUUGUUGGGGGGACAGGGUGCCUCUGCGCAGUGAAGGGACAGGUCAAACUGUGAGCCCAUCCUCUGGACCCUCAGCUGGUGGGAGGCUCAUGGGUGCAUGCAGGACAGGCAGUAUUUCUGUGUGAUUCUCUGUCCGUGUGUCCUGGACUUGCUCUGCGUCUGCUCCCACUCUUUUGCAUGGUCCCUGUCACCCCACUGUGGCCGUGGUCAUGUGGGACCCUCCCAGCUGAGGCAGACUGCUUCCAGGCACCGCAGCCCCUCUCUUCCACAUGGCGUCCAACACACCAGCAUUUCCUCUGUGACAAUGUUUGUGGAUUGUUUCUCCUAGCUCACGAGGAGCAGGGCUCUGAGCUGUGUGCAUGGCUGGCCCACGGGCUGCCUUUCAGCAGCCGGCCCUGUCCAGACUGGAGAAACAGCGGCUGAGCAUACGUGUUCCAAACCAUUCCAUGACUCACAUGACAGAGCUAGAUCCUGAGUGUACUGCAGACUCUAGCCUGGGACUCCAGGGCUCUCCCUGGACACACUUUCUGCUCUGUUCCAAUUCCUCCCUGGGCUAUUGCCUCCAAGGCCCACACACCUUUCAGAAUAUGACUGGGGUAAGGCAAGUCUUUCUGGCCCUGCCACCUGCACUGUCACUGCAGUUCCUGGGCAGGAAGAAAUGCUGGUUAGUCCCUCAGCAUGCAGAUGCAGGCAUGGUGACGGUGAGUCUUUGUACAUGGUUCCCAAGGAUGAAAAUACUGAGAAGUAAAUAUGCCCAGACUCAGAGUUGGAAGUGGGAAAGUUUAUUGAAAGUGUAAGAGAAAGAAACUCCCCAUCAGGGAGGAACUUAGUAGGACUAAGCUCGCUUAUUAAGACUCAUUGUAGAAACUUUUGAGGGGAACUGGGUCUUUCUAUUUCUUAUCAAAGUCUCCAAGGACUCUGUUUGUUUCCCAGAGAUACCCCACAUAGGGCAUAUUUGUGUUGCCAAGGUCCAUGAACAUUUCACAUUCCCGCUUAGGCUGGCGGGGCUGUCUGUUUACUUAAGACCUUUUAGAGGAUGUAUUUCACCACAUACCAGGUAUUGCCCUGUUAUCUCUUAGUCUCCUGUGAGCACAAGACCUGGGGCAGAAUUUAUGGUCUUGGGAAAUGUAAACUUCUCAUUCUCAGAAAGAACCCAGGAAUUUGCAAGAAUGUUUAAAAGGUACAAUGGGGCCAGGGAGACAGCACCACGAGGAGGGCAUUGACCUGGUAUCUCUGACACCCACAUGAUUCCCCAAGCCCACCAAGAGUGAUCCCUGAAUGCAGAGCCAAGAGCAAGCCCUGAGCACCUCUGGGUGUGGCCACAAAACAAAAAAACAAAACAAAAGUAUAACAAAGACAGUUAAGAUGAAACUGCUCAUGGCAGCCAGCAGGGAAAACUGAGGUUUGCUCUUUCAUACUGGCCUCUUCCCUUUCCCCCGUAUCCCUGAUGUUUUUAUGCUAACUCCCUUCUCUGCUGUUUGGAGAAGCUCUGCUUUCCCUCGGGACCAUCUCCGGGAAGCCUCCUCAGCCCCUCUCCGGCUGUUCCCCAUCUCCAUGGCAUUUGCACUGGACUAAUGAACUUGCCAAGAUCAGCUUAGAAUCCACCUUUGAUGGAGUUGUGGAGGGACGUCCAAUGUUAGUGGGAAUGUCAUCUGGUUCAGCCCCUGUGGAAAGCAAAAUGGGGGUCUCUUAAUAAAAUAGGAAAAGGACUCCCAUAUGAACCAGCAAUACCACUUGGCAUCCACUCCACAAACACAAAAACAUUAGAAAGGGCAUAUUCACCACACUUAGUACAAUAGCUAAGAUAUAGAAAUAACCAAAUGCCCUGCUCUGGGUCAAGAGAUCGUGAUUAUUAUAUAUACACACAUGUAUAUGUGUAUAUAUACACAUAUUUACGUAUAUAUACAUAUCACAGAUCAUCCUGUUAUUCGUCGAUUGCCUCGAGCAGGCCCCAGUAACGUCUCCUUCAUCCUGGCCCUGA